RNAcentral lists this ribosomal RNA (494 nucleotides) under uncultured bacterium. RNAcentral's name for it is "partial 16S ribosomal RNA". It matches the Rfam family "Bacterial small subunit ribosomal RNA", at positions 28 to 507 of the family's 1533-position model. The record is from RNAcentral.
GACGAACGCUGGCGGCGUGCUUAACACAUGCAAGUCGAACGGUGAAGCGCCUUCCUUUUUGGUGGGUGUGGAUGAGUGGCGAACGGGUGAGUAACACGUGAGUAACCUGCCCCCUUCUUCUGGAUAACCGCAUGAAAGUGUGGCUAAUACGUGAUAUUCUGGGUCUGUCGCAUGAUGGGUCUGGGAAAGAUAUCGUUUCGAUGGGGGAUGGGCUCGCGGCCUAUCAGCUUGUUGGUGGGGUGAUGGCCUACCAAGGCGGUGACGGGUAGCCGGCCAGAGAGGGUGGACAGACACACUAGGACUGAGACACAGACGAGACUACUACGGGCGGCAGCAGGGGGGAAUAGUGCACAAUGGGCGCAAGCCUGAUGCAGCGACGCCGCGUGAGGGAUGGAGGCAUUCGGGUUGUGAACCUCUUUCGCCAGUGAAGCAGGCCUGCCUCGUUUGUGGGUGGGUUGACGGUAGCUGGAUAAGAAGCGCCGGCUAACUACGUG